This is an RNA transcript of Mastomys coucha (southern multimammate mouse), 5545 nucleotides long. It is a transcript of the gene named pre-mRNA processing factor 4B, with no coding region annotated. Lineage: Eukaryota; Metazoa; Chordata; Mammalia; Rodentia; Muridae. The transcript is spliced from 17 exons. The record is from RefSeq and is a predicted model, not a curated record.
GAGUUUUUCUAUCCGGAUUCUUAGCGCGGACUCCGAGUGCCGCUUUUCUCUACGUGCUUUGCACAUGCGCGACUGCUCUUCCCUUCUUCCUCCGCUUCCACUGGCGUCCACGGUUCGCCGAGCCGCCGCCAGCACCGCGGAGAAGUCGGGAAGUUCAAGAUGGCCGCCACGGAGCCCCCGUCGCUGCGAGAGCAGCCUGAGAUGGAUGAUGCUGAUAUUUCUGAAAAGAGUAUAAAUGAAGAAAAUGGAGAAGUAUCAGAAGACCAAUCGCAAAAUAAACACAGUCGUCACAAAAAAAAGAAGCAUAAACACAGAAGUAAACAUAAGAAACAUAAACAUUCCUCAGAAGAGGAUAGGGAUAAAAAACACAAACAUAAGCAUAAGCAUAAGAAACACAAACGGAAAGAAGUUAUCGAUGCUUCUGAUAAAGAAGGCCUGUCCCCUGCAAAAAGAACUAAACUUGAUGAUUUAGCUUUGCUGGAAGACUUGGAAAAGCAGAGAGCCUUGAUUAAAGCUGAGCUUGAUAAUGAAUUAAUGGAGGGGAAGGUCCAAUCUGGAAUGGGUCUCAUUUUGCAAGGCUAUGAGUCUGGCUCUGAAGAAGAAGGAGAGAUUCACGAAAAGGCAAGAAAUGGAAAUAGGUCCAGUACCAGGUCUUCCAGUACACGGGGAAAACUUGAAAUUACGGACAACAAAAAUAGUGCAAAAAAACGAAGUAAAAGCAGAUCCAAAGAACGGACUAGGCAUAGAUCGGACAAAAGGAAAAGCAAGGGAGCUGUGGAAAUGGUGAGAGAGAAAGCAAACAGGAGCAAGUCCAAGGAGAGGAGAAAAUCCAAAAGUCCAUCCAAAAGAAGCAAGUCUCAAGACCAAGCAAGAAAGUCAAAGUCCCCUACACUUAGACGGCGGUCCCAAGAGAAAGUGGGAAAGGCCAGAUCUCCUGCUGAUGAGAAGAUGAAGAGUGAAGAGAAAGGUAAAAUAAAGGAUAGGAAAAAAUCACCAAUUGUAAAUGAAAGAAGUCGAGAUAGAGCUAAAAAAUCCAAGUCCCCAGUUGACUUAAGAGAUAAAUCCAAAGACAGAAGGUCAAGGUCCAAAGAGCGGAAGUCAAAACGAUCUGAAAUUGACAAAGAAAAGAAGCCAAUUAAAUCACCUUCAAAAGAUGCUUCUUCUGGGAAGGAAAAUAGGUCACCCAGUAGAAGACCUGGCCGUAGUCCUAAAAGAAGAAGUUUGUCUCCAAAACAACGAGACAAGUCAAGAAGAAGUAGGUCUCCGCUUCUCAAUGACAGAAGAUCUAAGCAGAGCAAAUCGCCUUCUCGAACUCUGUCUCCAGGCAGAAGGGCCAAAAGCCGAUCCCUAGAAAGAAAACGGAGAGAACCAGAGAGGAGACGACUUUCUUCUCCGAGAACACGGCCUCGAGAUGAUAUCCUUGGAAGAUGUGAACGAUCAAAAGAUGCCAGCCCCAUCAAUAGGUGGUCUCCAACCCGAAGAAGAAGUAGGUCUCCCAUUAGAAGGAGAUCCCGUUCCCCAUUGAGACGCAGCAGGUCUCCUAGAAGAAGAAGCAGGUCUCCUCGGAGAAGAGAUAGGAGUCGAAGGAGCCGGUCACGCUUGAGAAGAAGGUCUCGAUCACGGGGUGGCCAUAGGAGAAGGAGCAGAAGCAAAGUAAAGGAAGAUAAAUUUAAAGGAAGUCUCUCCGAAGGAAUGAAAGUUGAGCAAGAGUCUUCAUCUGAUGAUAACCUUGAAGAUUUUGAUGUGGAGGAAGAAGAUGAAGAGGCUCUAAUAGAACAGAGAAGAAUACAGAGGCAAGCGAUUGUGCAGAAAUAUAAAUAUCUCGCUGAAGAUAGCAAUAUAUCUGUGCCAUCUGAGCCAAGCAGCCCCCAGAGCAGCACAAGAUCACGAUCCCCUUCGCCAGACGACAUCUUGGAGCGGGUGGCUGCUGACGUAAAAGAAUAUGAACGGGAGAAUGUUGACACCUUUGAGGCCUCAGUAAAAGCCAAGCAUAAUCUAAUGACAGUUGAACAGAAUAAUGGUUCAUCUCAGAAGAAGCUUUUGGCACCUGAUAUGUUUACAGAAUCUGAUGAUAUGUUUGCUGCUUACUUUGAUAGUGCUCGUCUCCGGGCUGCUGGCAUUGGUAAAGAUUUCAAAGAGAAUCCUAACCUCAGAGAUAAUUGGACAGAUGCAGAAGGCUAUUACCGUGUGAACAUUGGGGAAGUCCUAGAUAAGCGUUAUAAUGUGUAUGGCUACACUGGGCAGGGUGUGUUCAGCAAUGUUGUCCGUGCCAGGGAUAAUGCAAGAGCCAAUCAGGAAGUGGCUGUAAAGAUCAUCAGGAACAAUGAACUCAUGCAAAAAACUGGUUUAAAAGAGCUAGAGUUCUUGAAGAAACUUAAUGAUGCUGAUCCUGAUGACAAGUUCCAUUGCCUGCGCCUCUUUAGACACUUUUACCACAAACAGCAUCUCUGCCUCGUAUUUGAGCCUCUCAGUAUGAAUUUGCGAGAGGUAUUAAAAAAAUAUGGUAAGGAUGUCGGUCUCCAUAUUAAGGCUGUAAGAUCAUACAGUCAGCAGUUGUUCCUGGCAUUGAAACUCCUUAAAAGAUGCAAUAUUCUGCAUGCAGAUAUCAAACCAGAUAAUAUUCUGGUUAAUGAAUCCAAAACAAUUUUAAAGCUGUGUGAUUUUGGAUCGGCUUCUCAUGUUGCAGAUAAUGACGUAACGCCUUACCUUGUCAGUAGAUUUUAUCGUGCCCCAGAGAUCAUUAUAGGGAAAAGCUAUGACUACGGUAUCGAUAUGUGGUCUGUAGGUUGUACCUUAUAUGAACUCUAUACUGGAAAAAUCUUAUUCCCUGGCAAAACUAAUAACCAUAUGUUGAAGCUUGCCAUGGACCUUAAAGGAAAAAUGCCAAAUAAGAUGAUCAGGAAAGGUGUAUUCAAAGAUCAACAUUUUGACCAAAAUCUGAACUUCAUGUACAUAGAGGUUGAUAAAGUAACAGAGAGGGAGAAAGUUACUGUCAUGAGCACCAUUAAUCCAACUAAGGACCUAUUGGCUGACUUGAUUGGGUGCCAGCGACUUCCUGAAGAUCAACGUAAAAAAGUACACCAGCUAAAGGACUUGUUGGACCAGAUCCUAAUGUUGGACCCAGCUAAGCGAAUUAGCAUCAACCAGGCCCUGCAGCAUGCAUUCAUCCAGGAAAAAAUUUAAAUGAGAUGAAGAAACUCCAAGGGUUUGAGUAAUUAAAUACAAAGACUGAAGAAAUUUCACAGCGGUUUAUUAUUAAUGUAUAUAAACUUAUAAAUAUUUCUGCAGCAAAUUUGAGGAAGCAUGAUAUAUUUGAAUUAACACCGAGGGUGAUAUUUCUUUUAGAAAUGUUAGUUAAUCUGUUUUGUGUCUUAUGUGAAAUUUCACUGUAGAAAUGUUUUAAUUGCCAAGACUGCACAAAAUUACAGUGCUAAUGUAUGUGGUUGCAGUUCACAUAAAAGACAAAAAGCAUCUGUUAUGAGUAGCAGUGCUGGGUGGUUGAUUUGUCUUUAGCAGACUUGGCUUCAGUUUGCUCUUCAGAUACAAUGGCCAGCAUAAAUGCUGUUUAUAUUCACGUUUUCCUAGGUGUGUGUGUGCAGGCCACAGCAGCAUGCCCUUGGUGUAGUCAGUGCCGAAGGGAGUCUGUUCCUUCUUGAGCCUGCCUGCAGGGAUGUCUCCUUUUAAAGCAGGUUGUGUACAACAUUCAGUACACUGAAGGUAAGCUAAACCAUCAACAUCACCAGUGUUUUAAGAUGUUAUUUUAUUGGAAUAAUUGAAAAUGAGGGAUAGCUUUGUGGCAGAAUUCCCUGCAUGUGUGAUAACUGAUCUUGUUUUAUUUUUUCGCAUCGCAACUGUGGCAUAGUUACAGUUUCUGUUCUGUUCAUCACAUUUAAAAUUUGAAGCGAAUGCGCUUGAUGGAUAGAGCGCCUUCAGUGUACUGUUUCUUAACUUUACUUUUUUUUUUUAAAUCAACUUGCUAUAGACUUUAUACAUUUUGUUAAAUACAGUUCUUAGUGACAUAGAGACUGCAUAGUUUUCAUUUACUAAUUAAAAUGUUGAGGCCUACUUCUGAAAGUCCUCAUAUUUAAAAGAUAGACAACAUAAUGAGAUUUUUAACUAUUUGUAUGUCAUUUUGAAAGUGUACUGCUUUAUGGUAAAAGUGUUUUUCAUUUGUUCAUUGUUUGCAUUAUUUGUGAUCAUGUUGUCUUUCAAUACAGGCAUAAACCUUCCACUCUUGAACAAAGCAGCUGCUUUUUAAAAGCGGUAAUUGCUUCUUUACCUUUUAUUUCUUUUGUAAAUGAAGCUUUUCUUUUAAAAUGUGACUUUAAAGUGUUGUCUAUUGCAUAAACAGUUGACACUCACUUACUGUAAUGAGAAGAUUGUUCUACUGCAUGGGAAGUGGACCAUGCAGAUUUCUGUAUGUUCUCAGUAUGCAUCACUAGAUAAUAAAGUCUUUUGUGAACAAGGCAUUUGUAGCCAUUUUUAAAAGAUUUUGUCUUCAGUGCUGGUAAGUCAGGUAAACUGUAAAUAGUUAAAGCAGUCUUUGUUUUUCUCCUGAAAGUAUUACCUGCUAAAGAUGUAACUCAGUAUAUCCUUAUCUCUAAAUUUUUUUAAUAAUUAGGGUCUUAAUUAUUUCAUCCAGAAAAAGUUCUUCAAAUUUUAUCAGCUUUCAGUGUAGUGAGGUUAUUCCUCAGUGUAGUAGGUUAUGGGGUAUCACUCAGGAUUUAACUAAUGUUUCUGCUAUUUUCUCACUUUUCCUUUUGAUGGUGCGGAAAGAGAAAAAGGAAAACGGGGCACAGGCCAUUCGACGCCUUCUCCAAGGGGUCUGAUUUGCUGAGACACCAGCUCCACCUUCUUAACAAGGUUAUUUCUGACAGCAUGUGUAGAUAAACAUUUAGCAACAAUUUAAAACAAAAUCAUGUAAAUCAGCUUGGUUUUGCGACACAAAGGAUUUUGUGUGUUUAAGAUGAUAGAGAGAAUUUUUUAAAUCCUAUGUAAUCUUGUAUUUGGGAGUGGGUAAACUUACUGCUUGUCUCCCUGAGGACUAUGGAGAACAAUAACAUUUGGGGGUUUAAGUAGCAUUUUUACAUUGUAAAUGGGAUUUUUUUAUUCACCCAGGCACCUAAUUACAACAAGCAUGCACAUUUUGGUGCAUUCAAGAAUGGAAUAUCAGAAUAGCAGCAUUCUCCUGGUGGGUUAUGCUCCAUUUAAAGACAUGAAAUGAACUACACAGCCAGGAAGGUGAUAGAUGAGAUAAUAAACCACCUAUGAACCUACACCGUCUCCUCAUGGUUAGACUUACUAAAGUAAACACACGGUGCAGCUCACUGGAAGAUGACGGCAGCCAGAAGACAUGAGCCAAGGGUAAGGGACUGUUCUUCUGAAGAACCAUUCCAUUUAGUGAUCAAGAUACGGAAGCUGCUCUGAGAAAAUGUUGUGUAUCCUAAUUGUUCAUGAUACCAUUUGAGUUGUAACUUACAUUGUAGCAGCAAAUGAUCCCAAACAACUUAAUAGGAAGCUUAAUAAAGUGUGCCUCUUGCUAUCA